This is a long non-coding RNA of Alligator mississippiensis (American alligator), 563 nucleotides long. RefSeq lists it as uncharacterized. Lineage: Eukaryota; Metazoa; Chordata; Crocodylia; Alligatoridae. The record is from RefSeq and is a predicted model, not a curated record. The transcript has 3 exons.
AGCAACAUUGCCUGGCUGCGAGGCUUCAUGGAACACCCUGAAGUUUCUAGGGUUGGAAGAGACCUGAACAGAUCACGUCCAACCCCCUGCCCUGGGCAGGAAUGAGUGCUGGGAUCAUAAUACCCCAGCCUCCUCUUGAAGACCCCCAACCUCCUCUUGAAGACUCCCAAGAUAUCUACAGAGGUGGACAAGCAAACUGUUGCUUCUGAAGAGACAUGGGAUGUUCUGUAUGACUCUUAUACCCUCUGUUCACAUUUUCUAUUUUUACCCAAAUCAGAAGAGAUCUGGCUAUAUGUGCCUGAAACACUCUCAGAAAAUUGGAACUGAUCAGAAGAGGUGAUAUCACAAGUUACCUAUCAUGUUUCAGAUAAACGGAAAUCCUGUGAAGUUUGGUGUCAGACUUGCUUCACUCAGCUAAUGAGGCCCAGCAUUUGAUAAAACUCGUCUUUAACUUAAAAAGUUAACUUUUAUGGCUCAGAUUCACACAAAAAUAAAGUCUAGCUAUAUGUUUAUUUAAAAACUGCAUUUUCUUACUCAACAGAUAAACUUAUUGUUUAUUCAGA